GCCCCCAUAGUUCAAGUGGAAGAACGAGGGACUCCUAAGCCUUAGAUGCCUGGUUCGACUCCAGCUGGGGGCACCA
RNAcentral lists this transfer RNA (76 nucleotides) under Patescibacteria group bacterium. RNAcentral's name for it is "tRNA-Arg". It matches the Rfam family "tRNA". Rfam says of the family: Transfer RNA (tRNA) molecules are approximately 80 nucleotides in length. Their secondary structure includes four short double-helical elements and three loops (D, anti-codon, and T loops). Further hydrogen bonds mediate the characteristic L-shaped molecular structure. tRNAs have two regions of fundamental functional importance: the anti-codon, which is responsible for specific mRNA codon recognition, and the 3' end, to which the tRNAs corresponding amino acid is attached (by aminoacyl-tRNA synthetases). tRNAs cope with the degeneracy of the genetic code in two manners: having more than one tRNA (with a specific anti-codon) for a particular amino acid; and 'wobble' base-pairing, i.e. permitting non-standard base-pairing at the 3rd anti-codon position. The record is from RNAcentral.